Molecule: ribosomal RNA, 489 nt
Filed under: uncultured bacterium
Lineage: Bacteria
Description: bacterial SSU rRNA
Rfam family: Bacterial small subunit ribosomal RNA
Source: RNAcentral
AUUGAACGCUGGCGGCAGGCUUAACACAUGCAAGUCGAGCGGAGACUUCGGUCUUAGCGGCGAACGGGUGAGGAAUGCCUGGGAAUCUGCCUGUUAGUGGGGGAUAACGUUCCGAAAGGAACGCUAAUACCGCAUACGUCCUACGGGAGAAAGCAGGGGACCUUCGGGCCUUGCGCUAACAGAUGAGCCCAGGUCGGAUUAGCUAGUUGGUGGGGUAAAGGCUCACCAAGGCGACGAUCCGUAGCUGGUCUGAGAGGAUGAUCAGCCACACUGGAACUGAGACACGGUCCAGACUCCUACGGGAGGCAGCAGUGGGGAAUAUUGGACAAUGGGGGAAACCCUGAUCCAGCGAUGCCGCGUGUGUGAAGAAGGCCUGCGGGUUGUAAAGCACUUUCAGUGGGAAAGAGAAGCGUCUUGUGAAUAAUGGGACGUGGAGACGUUACUCACAGAAGAAGCACCGGCUAACUCUGUGCCAGCAGCCGCGGUAAU